Molecule: transfer RNA, 71 nt
Filed under: Cautires sp. UPOL 000044
Lineage: Eukaryota; Metazoa; Arthropoda; Insecta; Coleoptera; Lycidae
Description: tRNA-Glu
Source: RNAcentral
GAUUCUCUUUUAUAUAGUUUAAUGUAAAACAUUACAUUUUCAAUGUAAAAAUAAAUUAAUCAAUUCUAUAA